This 1206-nucleotide unclassified non-coding RNA is filed under the name Hevea brasiliensis (rubber tree). Lineage: Eukaryota; Viridiplantae; Streptophyta; Magnoliopsida; Malpighiales; Euphorbiaceae. The record is from RNAcentral.
AUUCAAUACGCGGCCAAGGCCAUUGAUCAAGCCCAACAAGUCAUAUAACGACUUUUUCUAUUUAAAUAUAAAGCCCAUAGGAGCAAGAUAAGACAAGAAAUACAGAACUCAUAUUCGAGGAGCAAGCCUUUUCAAACAGAAAAGAUACUCGGCUCAGUCCCCUACUAGAACGAGAGAUAGAGCUGUCGCAAUAUUAUCAUUAGCGACUGCAGGAAAGUGGAAAACAAAGAAAUGACAGAGUGCUUCUAUCGACGUCUCACUCUCUUAUAGCCAUAGGGGCAAAUGGCCAGCUCGUUCACUCUAGGAAUAUUAUUUCUACUCAACCAUCAUACCCACCCUCCAUAAAGGCAAACACCCUACAGAAGCACAAACAUAACAAGCGCAAUUAAAAUCCUAAUUGAUCCCUCUCCAACUAUAGUCAAUCUAUAAGCAUUAAAGUUUUAUCUGCACUCAAUCUGGUGAUGAGGAGAGAACUCACUCACCAGAUCAGGGAAGGACAGUCUUCGUCUUCCCCUGACCAAAGGGCAGAGAAACAUACAAAAUAAAACCUUAAAGAAAGAAGAACAUAAAGAAGUUUCUCUCUGAAAACUAGAAAGAGAGACCCUUUACUCAUCAGUAAUUGCCAUUAAACUACGAAUGAAAACUAAGUUUCCAUCCAAUAAUAAGUAGUUUGGCAGCACCCAGAGUUCCUCCAAACCCUUCAGUAAAUCAACUUAACAAAAAUCAAAUCACCAUUUGAAUUCCCUUUUGCACAUCCAAAUUAAGCUGCCAAUUUCAUGUCAUUGCAAAGACGAUAUGAAAAAGGAAUAAAAGACCAGCAUCAGUACUGAAGCAGUCGGAGGAACUCAAGGUGACCCCAAACAUUCACUAGGCAUUGGCCGAGAGAGAAGAGCUAGCUAGGGCAAACCAAACCAGUACAUUUCCCUACAUAAAAAUGCACAAUAUAUUUGAGCAUUGAGUGCACCAGGAAGUUUUCAAAAUGACAUGUCUCUCUGCUAUUGCAGGGUUUGUUUUCUUGAACUUAGCCGUAAUUGCGGCUUGGUUCUUGAUACACCCCUUUGUGCAACAAGUAGAUGCAUUGAAUUUAGACUAAUUUUUUCUCUGGCUUCAAAGCUUUCCGUACCAAUUGCCAAGGAAUCUUAUCCUCCAGCGGUAGUGUACUCUUUUGCGAACUCGAGAAACCCAAAGCUGAGUUGUUAAGGGUAA